RNAcentral lists this long non-coding RNA (7377 nucleotides) under Brassica rapa (field mustard). RNAcentral describes it as "long non-coding RNA (BRAP_LNC007550)". Lineage: Eukaryota; Viridiplantae; Streptophyta; Magnoliopsida; Brassicales; Brassicaceae. The record is from RNAcentral.
UUGACAUUUAUUAUAUCAUCAUGCACAACUCACUAGCACUAAGUAAAAUCAAGUUCAAUCGGUUGAUUAUUAAUUAUGCAACUGUUCGUUAUUUCUCUUGGUUUAUAUUGAUCUAAUCAUGAUCAUGGUUUUCUUGAGCCAGAGAUCGCUGAGCCAAAAGGAAAAGAGAAUCAACAAGCGGUUGCCACCAUCAUAUCCUCAUGCUUCGAAGGACUGCCCUCACCUACGAGCUUCUCGGAAGCGGCAUAAGCCGGCACAUUUCUCAGCAUCAUCAUAGCCUGACGAGCAUACACACCAACUACUUGUUCGGCACACACGAUCUCAACACGAGACUUCGGAUCGACAAUGGUUCGGUAAACGCGUACUUUAGGCACAAGUUUAAAUUCAACUUGCUUUUUAUUAGGCACGAAUUUGCAUUAGACUCGUUUAUUGUUAGACACGAGUUUACAAAAACUCGUCUUUGACUAGGCAUGAGUUUACAGAAACUCUCCUUUUACUAGGCACGAGUUCUCAGUAAAUUCGCCUCUGUCUUAGCAUGAGUCAAGUAAACUCGUCUUUCGCUAAGCACGAGUUUAAAGCAAACUUGCUUUUUACUAGGCACAAGUUCGAAAUAAACUCGCCUAAACCGUCAUAGGCAUGAAUGUGUCUAGUUCAUUGUCUAAUAAACCCUAUUCGUAAACUUCACAGAGAUCGAUUUCAUCUCUCUCAACGAACUUGGGGGGCUUACUGUUGGGGGUGUAUUUACAUCCUCCCUCAAGGCCUAUUAGACAUUGAAUUAGGUCUAUAUUGCUAAAAAGCCCUAGGCUUCAUCUUUCUCUAAAUAAGGAGCUACCUCCUUCUUAGGAAGGAUCUCUUCUUCCCCAUUUUUAGACCUAACACUUCAUACAAAGAGUUUAUUGAUUCUUAGAUUUAUUUACACUUGUAAUCAUACAUGUAAUACAAUCUUUGAUCUAUAAAUUCUUUUUGAUGUUCAUUUUCUAUUUGAUUUCUAUGUUAAUUUCUCUUAAGCCUCAAGAAUUUAAGAAAUAGAUUUUUUAAAUUCUUUAUUGUUAUGAAUCCAACAUAAACACCAUUUUUUGAUCAAACAACCACAUAACACCAAAAGUAGUGUAGGUGGAUUGACAACAUCCGGGUACUGAACGUGGUCGUGCUUAAUCUUAUUGCAGUUAGAAACUCUUGUUAUUAGAUAUACAUACUGAUAAGUAAAUAGAAACAUUAUUGAUAAGCAGUAUAUAUAUAACAACCUUAGAGCUUCAAGGCCCAAUAUCUGCUCACGUGGAAUCCAUCCUUCCACGUUCAUUAGGUCUAACCAGUGUCCAACAAUGUCCAAGGUUAUGCGGAAAUCCCAACGCCUAAAUCAACCUCACACAUGAGCACUUCACAGGAUGAUUUAGAAGACUUUAUUAAGAUAUUUUAGUCAUGAUAUCAACGAACCAGAUCAACAUUUGAUGGAAACCUUCAUCCGACAAUUGUCCCCAUGGAAGUUUGGAUCGGCAUGGAACUGAUGUGUACAGCUCAGCUGGCCAAUAGUGCAAGAAAUGAUGCUUACUUUUAUGGUAAUAUACUUUUGAUUGACCAUAGAGGUAACCAAUGCCUCCCAUAUAAUCUCAAGGAUUGUAUAAGAACACAAUAUAAAGAACUCUCUUUAUUAGCUUAAGAACUUUCUCAAAACUUAAGCUCCACACAAUCUCUCAAACUCUUCAUAUCUAUGCAACACUCUUGCAUCUUAUAUAUAGAUGUUAUUUCCUAAACUCUUAGGACUAACUUUUCUAAACUCUUAGGAAUUAACUUUCCUAAACUCUUAGGAAUUAACUUAUUCUAAUCCUUACUCAAAAUAAGAAAGAUGUAACUUAGAUCCUAAGUUAACCAUGUUUAUCUCUAACAUUCUCCCCUUUAAACUUGAAGUUAACUUCUUCAAUAUCUUGAACUCCUACAAGCUCUUUCAUUUCUCUAAACUUGAUUCUUCCUAAAGCUUUAGUUAGAAUGUCAGCCUUCUGUUCUGUUCCUGGAAUGUGCUGGACGUCAACCUGCUCAUUCUCGAUACAUUCACGGAUGAAGUGAUAGCGUUUAUGUAUAUGCUUACUACGACCAUGAAAAACCGGGUUCCUUGUAAGCGCUAUUGCUGAUUUGUUAUCCAAACGAAUCACAACUCUUUCUCUUGUCUCCUUGGUGAUCUCUUCCAACAGUUCUUGAAGCCAUAUGGCUUGUUUUGCAGCUUCUGUAGCGGCCAUGAAUUCAGCUUCACAUGAUAAAAGAGCCACAGUCUCUUGUUUCUGAGAGCACCAAGUGAUUGGACACUUCUUUAAGUAAAAUAUGUGUCAUGUGGUGCUUCUACCAUCAUCCUCGUCUAUAUUGUGGCUUGAGUCGCUAAAUCCUUCCAGUCUUAAUGCGUUUGUGCGUUCGUACACGAGACCCAGCUUCGACGAUCCUUUCAAGUACCUCAAGACUUGCUUAAGAGCUGCUCCAUGAGACGUCUUAGGACCAUGCAUGUACCUGCUCAAAAGGCAUACGCUAAAAGCAAGAUCGGGGUGUGUGUGUGUAACAGAUAGCGUAGACACCGUAUCUUUCUCCUAUAAUCCUUCUCAUCUAUGCUUUCUUCUUUAUCUGCUUUUGAGACCUUUAAGCCAGACUCCAUUGGUGUCUGGACUGCAUUACAUUCUUCCAUACCGGUUUCAGACAAGAUCUUCUUAGCAUAUCAUUCCUGACUCAAUGUUAUUCUUCCACGUUCUUUAUUCACUUCGAUACCAAGAUAGUAUGUUAACAAUCCGAGAUCACUCAUCUCAAAGUUACUUGACAUCUCUCUCUUGAACUCAUGUAUCAUACUUUGCUUUGAUCCCAUGAUUAGUAAGUCGUCAACAUACACAGCUACUAGGAGAAGAUGAUUUUUCUCUUCCUUGCGAUACAAGGAAGGUUCCUUUGAACAUCUCUUGAAGUUUAAUUUCUCUAAGACUUUAUUCAGCUUCUCGUUCAAGGCUCUUGGGGCUUGUCUUAGGCCGUACAGAGCUUUAUUAAGUUUGUAUACUUUCUCUUCGUGACCUCUAACUUCAAAGCCUUCAGGUUGACUUACGUAUAAAACUUCUUUUAAUUCUCCGUGGAGGAAAGCGGUUUUGACGUCUAGGUGAUGGAUCUCCCAUUCGUUUGAGGCAGCUAGAGCAAUAAGAAACCUCACGGUCUCAAUCUUGGCAACUGGUGCAAAGACUUCUUCAAAAUUGAUACCGUGACGUUGAAUAUAACCUUUAGCCACCAGCCUUGACUUGUACUUAUUUAUGCUCCCAUCUGCAUUCCGUUUUAUCUUAAAGAUCCAUUUUAAUCCAAUUGGUUUAGCUCCUGGAGGUAAGUCAACGAGAUCCCAAGUUUUAUUCUUCACAAUCGAUGAGAUUUCUUCUUCACAGGCUUCACGCCAUACCUUCUCCUCCAUUGCAUCUCUGAAAUUCCAUGGUUCUUGAUCAAGAAGAAGCAAGAGGCGUUCUCCUUCUACUUCGGCAAGGUAGAUGUAGUCAUCGAGAUAACCAGGUUUCUUUGAGAUUCUAGUUGAUCUUCGUACUUGAAACUGCUAUGUUUGCUCUUCAUCAUGAUGAUCGCUGUCACCAUCCUCGACUGUAUCAUCUUCUUCAUGAGUGUUAUCGGCCUGGUUGUCAAUAGUAGACUCGUUAUCUUCUUCCUCUUGUUGAUUCACAUGAUCUCCAAGUGAAAUUUUAAACAUUUCGGGCUUCUCUAUUACUACACGAUCCGUCUUGUUCCAUUCCCAAGAUUUGUUUUCAUUAAAGACCACGUCCCUGCUCACUACUAUUCUCUGGCGUGUGGGAUCAAAUAGUCUAUAUGCCUUAAAGCCUCGCUCGGUUCCAAGGUGCACGAGAGUAUGAGACCUAUUAUCGAGUUUUUUUAAGUUUGUCGCCUCUGUUUUUGCAUAAGCAACACAUCCAAAUACUCUUAAGUGAAUGAUGUUUGGUUUUCUCCCUUUAAAAACUUCAUACGGCGUCUGUGAGAUCAGGGUCUUGGUUGCUAUACGAUUUAUCAAGUAAGUUGAGUGCCUCACAGCUUCUCCCCAAAGGUAAUUUGGUACGUCCAUGUACUUCAAAAUGCUUCUUGUCAUCUCUAAUAGGGUUCUAUUUCGCCUUUCUACCACUCCGUUCUGCUGUGGUGUAUAAGGAGCCGUUAAGUGACGUUGUAUACCUGAUUCUUCGCAGAACUUUUGAAACUCCAAGCUUGUGAACUCUCCACCUCUGUCUGUCCUCAGCGUCUUGAUGGGUGUACCAGUUUCUCGUUCAACUAAUGCCUUGAAUCGUUUGAAUUUUUCGAACGCUUCUCCCUUUUCCUUUAACGUAAUAGACCACAUAUAGCGUGAGUAGUCAUCUAUGAGAACGAAUAUGUAUCUGUUUCUCCCUAUGGUAGAUGGUGUAAUCGGUCCGCAGAGAUCUCCAUGAAUGAGUUCUAGUAUCUCGGAGGCUCGAUACGAUGUAGCUGCUGGGAAUGAGUGUCUUGUUUGCUUUGCACGCAGACAAGAAUCACAUGUUUCUUUCUCGACUUUGAGCUUGGGAAUUCCUAUCACAAGUUCUUUUCCUAUCAUGGCUUUCAUAGCAUCAGUUCCGAGAUGACCUAGAUGAGCAUGCCAUCGUGAGGCUUCGCUUUGAGUUUGAAGUUGUAGGCACGUUGGUUCUUCUAUUUCCAUUGCAACUUUAUAUAAACGGUUCCUUGAUCUUGAUGCCUUGACUAUCAAGUUACCAUCUUUGUCACGGAGUGUAAGAUAGUUUUCUCGCAUUCGUACAUCGCAUCCUGAUUAUGUGGCUUGAACGAGGCUUAUGAUAUUGCUUUUGAGUUUUGGAAUGUAGUAGACAUCUGCAAGGAUCUUUCUCUCUCCGUUGGGAGUGAUAAACAGAACGGCUCCCUUUCCCUUGAUGUCUAUUCUCGAAUCAUCUCUGAAACGGACCUUCCCGGUAAUCAUGUUGUCAAUAGUCCUGAAGAAGCUGCGGUUUCCUGUCAUAUGGUUAGAUGCUCCAUUGUCUAAGUACCAUAUCUUAUCUCCAUCAGUACUAGACUCAAGAUCUUUAGGUUUCACGUUCCGUUUGUUGAGAAAUACAACCUCAUGCAUUAAAAGUCCAUCAGCUUCGUGAGUUUCAUCUCCAUCUUUGCUCUCGGUUGUCUCUUGUAGCUUGAGAAGUCUAUCUGAAACAUGUGAUGUUUGUUUUAUCUCUACUGUCCCAAUAAGAUCUUCCGUGCCCUCUUCCUCUGCCGUAGUAGCGGUUACUUCGACCGCGACCUCUGUAUCCUCCAUCUCCUCUGUGUCCUCCGUCUCCUCUAUAUCCUCCAUUUCCUCUAUUUCCUCCAUCUCGGUAAUUUUGAGAUUAUGUGUUGCUGUACAUGAGUUUGCUCUGAUUUUCUUGUGUAUCUUCUUCUUCUUCUUCCGCCAUGAUACGCUCCUCGUAUGCUUUUAAACGUCCCACAACGUCUUCAAAACUCGCGGUGUUUAAGUCCAAGAGUUGUUCAAGUGAAGCAACUAUAUGAAUGUACUUCUUGCGUGGCAACCCUUGAAGGAACUUCUUUACAAGUUUUGCUUCAUUCAUACUUUCACCCAGUGCGGCGGAUUUUGAAGAUAUCUCUGUUAACUUGCCCACGAAGUCAUCAAUCUUAUCAGUUUCUUUCAUCUUUAGCCGUUCGAACUCAGUCAUCAAGGUCUGUAGUCUUGCUUCACGAACCCUAUCUGCUCCUACAUGUCGGGUCUUGAUCGCAUCCCAAACCUUCUUUGCGGUAUCAAGUGCUCCAACUUGUAGGAUCUCUCCGGAAUAGAUUGAAAGAGAAGAGCUGUCGCCAAGUCAUUCUUGUCUCCUUCUAUUGAGUCGCUCUCGACCACUUCCCAAACUUUAUGAACCCUAAGCAGCAUCUUCAUCCGUAUCGCCCAUACGAUGUAAUUCGUUGUUGUUAACAUCGGACACUUUAUGGAUGAACCUCCAUCCUUCUUGGUUGUCGUCGUUACCAAGUCAUCCAUGAUUCUUGAUCAAACUCUUGAUCGACUUUUGAACCUGGCUCUGAUACCAAAUAUAAUCUCAAGGAUUGUAUAAGAACACAAUAUAAAGAACUCUCUUUAUUAGCUUAAGAACUUUCUCAAAACUUAAGCUCUCACACAAUCUCUCAAACUCUUCAUAUCUAUGCAACACUCUUGCAUCUUAUAUAGAGAUGUUAUUUCCUAAAUUCUUAGGAACUAACUUUCCUAAACUCUUAGGAAUUAACUUUCCUAAACUCUUAGGAAUUAACUUAUUCUAAUCCUUACUCAAAAUAGGAUAGAUGUUACUUAGAUCCUAAGUUAACUUCAUGUUUAUCUCUAACAUCCCAGCAUGUUCCCAAUUGCAGCUUUACCAACGUCCAAAGUUUUAGCGUCAAUCUAGAAUCACAUGAUCACAGAGAUUGGCAUAUUUACACUAAAUCAUUGACUAUAUAACGCUAGCGCUAAGAAACUUAUGAGUAGAAUCAAACCUCUUCAGAAAGGUUGAAGCAUUCCCUGAAUUUUUCAUCAAAUGCUACAUGUUUCUCUGCAAGUAGAGUAGUGAGUUGCGAACCUACAUGGAUUGAAAAUGGAAAGUUAGGAAAAUGCACCGGAUAAUUAAUACCAUUACUAUAGGUAAUCAAAAUAGAUAUGCAUAAUAAUAUACAAGUGCACACAACAAAAUUAAAAUGAUUAUGCAAAAGUUUAUUGUGUUUAGGAAAAUGUCAUCAAUCAAUCCAUCACUAUCAUAACAUCAAUAUAUGCUCGAAGGUGCCAGGCUUGAAAAACCUGUAAGAGUGUUUGUACGAUCCUCCAUAUCGGCAGUUUUUUCAUCUAUCCCAGAUAUGAAGGCAAUAUCUAUAGUAGAGAACUGGCUCAUAGUGGAAAUCUGCAUGGCAACAGAUAAAUCAUAGGAUCCAUAUGAGUAAAUGUGGGAUGGUGGUUUUAUUCUUAAAUAACCAUGUAUAUAUAUCUUGAUAAAGACUGUUUUACCUGAAAAACAUAAACGUUGGAAUCAUCCUCCGCAGUGUCAGAGAGUUUAACUUGCCCAAACAUAUUUUCCUGAAAAUAUACAAGCCGAGAGGCAUGUAAGCACAUGUGGUCUUUACAAUAGUAUAUAUAUAUGAAAGACCUGCAAAAUUGAGAAUAUCACUAACAGUCAGGUUUUUCUGAACAAGAUCAGAUAGAUUGACAGAGUUGGACGUCUUGAACCCGCAAUAAUGACUUACGAGACCAGGAGUCUGCAAAUAAGGAGAAGCUAAAACAGUUAGAACACCAUGUUUCCAGCGAAGGAAGUAACUAGAAUCCUAUGAUCUCUGAAGACCACUACAAAUUAAAGAAAAAGCUACCUCUGACUUUAAGUGCAACUGCCAGUUUCCUACAUCUACUUUUCGGUUCCG